GAGAAUUUAAAAAUCGGGCUGCUAACUUGAUUUUAGCAUAAUUUGUUAGUUCUUG
This 55-nucleotide transfer RNA is filed under the name Lychas mucronatus (Chinese swimming scorpion). RNAcentral describes it as "tRNA-Ser". Lineage: Eukaryota; Metazoa; Arthropoda; Arachnida; Scorpiones; Buthidae. The record is from RNAcentral.